AACGAACGCUGGCGGCGCGCCUAAUACAUGCAAGUCGAGCGAGAAGACGUAGCAAUACGUUUGUAAAGCGGCGAACGGGUGAGGAAUACAUGGGUAACCUACCCUCGAGUGGGGAAUAACUAGCCGAAAGGUUAGCUAAUACCGCGUACGCUCCUUGGACUUCGGUUCAGGGAGGAAAGCGAUACCGUGGGUAUCGCGCUCUUGGAUGGGCUCAUGUCCUAUCAGCUUGUUGGUGAGGUAACGGCUCACCAAGGCUUCGACGGGUAGCUGGUCUGAGAGGACGAUCAGCCACACUGGCACUGCGACACGGGCCAGACUCCUACGGGAGGCAGCAGUAAGGAAUAUUGCGCAAUGGGCGAAAGCCUGACGCAGCGACGCCGCGUGGGGGAUGAAGGUCUUCGGAUUGUAAACCCCUUUCGGGUAGGGAAGAGUGGGACGGGCGAACCGUU
This 449-nucleotide ribosomal RNA is filed under the name uncultured bacterium. RNAcentral's name for it is "bacterial SSU rRNA". It matches the Rfam family "Bacterial small subunit ribosomal RNA", at positions 29 to 467 of the family's 1533-position model. The record is from RNAcentral.